UACCAGCUCUCCGAGUGGUGUGGAUGUUUAUUGGGCCUAAAGCAUCCGUAGCUGGCUGGACAAGUCCCCUGUUAAAUCCACCGAUUUAAUCGUUGGUGUGCGGGGGAUACUGUUCGGCUAGGGGACGGGAGAGGCAGACGGUAUUUUCGGGGUAGGGGUGAAAUCCUAUAAUCCCGGGAGGACCACCAGUGGCGAAGGCUGUUGACUAGAACGCGCCCGACGGUGAGGGAUGAAAGCUGGGGGAGCGAACCGGAUUAGAUACCCGGGUAGUCCCAGCUGUAAACGAUGCAGGCUAGGUGUUUGGGCGGCCACGUGCCGCUCUAGUGCCGCAGAGAAGUCGUUAAGCCUGCCGCCUGGGGAGUACGGCCGCAAGGCUGAAACUUAAAGGAGUUGGCGGGGGAGCACCACAAGGGGUGAAGCUUGCGGUUU
RNAcentral lists this ribosomal RNA (429 nucleotides) under uncultured archaeon. Its description in RNAcentral is "bacterial SSU rRNA". It matches the Rfam family "Archaeal small subunit ribosomal RNA", at positions 474 to 903 of the family's 1478-position model. The record is from RNAcentral.